AACUAGGUGGCUGAAAAAAGCAUAGAAUUUUUAAUUCUUAUAUGAAACCUGUUUCUCUGGUUU
Molecule: transfer RNA, 63 nt
Filed under: Proasellus coxalis
Lineage: Eukaryota; Metazoa; Arthropoda; Malacostraca; Isopoda; Asellidae
Description: transfert RNA-K(AAA)
Source: RNAcentral